Molecule: ribosomal RNA, 404 nt
Filed under: Fusobacteriota bacterium
Lineage: Bacteria; Fusobacteriati; Fusobacteriota
Description: Fusobacteria bacterium partial 16S ribosomal RNA
Rfam family: Bacterial small subunit ribosomal RNA
Source: RNAcentral
UGGGGAAUAUUGCACAAUGGAGGGAACUCUGAUGCAGCGACGCCGCGUGAGUGAUGAAGGAAUUCGUUUCGUAAAACUCUGUUCUAUGGGAAGAAAAGGACUGUACCAUAGGAGAAAGCUCCGGCUAAAUACGUGCCAGCAGCCGCGGUAAUACGUAUGGAGCGAGCGUUGUCCGGAAUUAUUGGGCGUAAAGGGUGCGCAGGCGGCUUUACAAGUUGGAUGUGAAAUAUUGUGGCUCAGCCACAAACGUGCAUCCAAAACUGCAAAGCUUGAGUUAAGGAGAGGUAAGUCGAAUUUCUGGUGUAGCGGUGGAAUGCGUAGAUAUCAGGAGGAAUACCGGUGGCGAAGGCGACUUACUGGACUUAAACUGACGCUCAGGCACGAAAGCGUGGGGAGCAAACAGG